This is a long non-coding RNA of Malania oleifera, 1027 nucleotides long. RefSeq lists it as uncharacterized. NCBI's taxonomy places the organism in Eukaryota, Viridiplantae, Streptophyta, Magnoliopsida, Santalales, Ximeniaceae. The record is from RefSeq and is a predicted model, not a curated record. The transcript is spliced from 2 exons.
GGAAUACUUUUUAUGUUGCGAAUCAAACGAACCGUAGGGCGAGAGAGAGAGAGAGAGAGAGAGAGAGAGAGGAAGAAGGAAAAGGAGAAGAAUAGGGAACAGGAGAGAAAAUAGAAGCAAAAAAGGAUAGAGGGGGCAUAUGAUGUGGGGAGUUUGUCCAAAGGGUAAAUAGAUAAGAAGUGAUGAAGGGGCGCUGCCCUACCUACAUCCAUCACUCGGACUUCCAAUUCCUCUUCCCCCCUUUUCUACUCUUUCAAUUUCCGAGAGAGAGAGAGAGAUGGAAGCAGCGGAGCAAGUAGCACCUCAACCCCAAGCAAUAGAGAUAUCUAGCGGCAACUACUCCCUCCCUGACAACGACGAGCAGGACCAAGUCAUCGAUCGUUGUUGCUCAUGCUGCUACGACUGCUGGGACAGCUGCUGGGAAUCAUUGUUCUGCGACUUCUGUAAUUGAUCGGAAUGGAUGGAUGGAUGGAUAGCUCGAUCUCCAACUCCCCUUCGUCGCUGUGAUAUCUUCAGAUUUUUAUGAGACAUUCUGAACAUUUUAAUUUAAUUAGCUUUUCUUAAUCUUGUAUUUCUAUUUUCUUUCUUUUUUAUUAAUUUGCAUCUUCUCAUAACUUCUCUUUGCCAUGUUAUCAUCAACGUAUUAAUUGGUGUAAAUAUGAUUCUCAUGUCUCGAUGAAACGACAGACAUGAGAAUGGGAUGAGAUGGCUCAUGGCUGCGUCUGGGGGAAGUGACGUCUGUGAGUCUUGGCCUUCACAAGUCAUCUGGGCCCAGCCCAAAACAUUGCGGCCCACGAUUUGUCUUUUCCGAUGAACAACAUGCUCGCAGAAGCUUCCGACCGACGCCCAACAACCGUGGCACCACCUAUCUAGCAAUACGCUCGUCCCUACCUCUCUGUAAAGUAAAUUUCCUUAUCAUGUUUCACUGUUUGGAGUUUCGGCUAUUAAUUUAAAUAUGCAUUUUAAUUUAUAUUAAGUAGUGUUUGAAAAUUUUAAAUUUAAAUAAAAUUUAAUGUAACCUUAUACU